AUGUUUGCUUGUUUGUUUGUUCCCAAACUUCUCUCUAAAACACAUCGCUGGGUUAUUUGCAGGCUAACGUAUGAAUGAACAUGACCAUAAUUCAUGUUUAUGCUUGUACAUUUCAGUUGUUUUGUAAUGUUUUUUUAUGUUUACGUAUAGAUUCGGGUGUUGUUUGCUGAGGGAGUUAUUGGACGUUUAAGUUACCUUUUUUUGCAACCUUAAAUAAAAACAAAGGUUUUCCUUAUCAUAACCCUUAAGCAUGUUUUUUUAUAUUUUUGUAAAAGGGUAGCAACCUUAUUUUCUUCGUGUAUUGAUAACUAUUGUCAAAACCACGGUUUUACUACAGUAUCAAUGGUUUCACUAUGUUUUUUAAAACCAUGGUUAUUCCGUGGUAACCAUGGUUUUACUACAGUAAACUUUUUUUGUUUUAACUGCAAUAAAACCAUGGCUAAUUUUCGUAAGGGACAUCAUUGGUUGUAAGUUUUUAAUGUUUACUAAUGAAUGAAUGAUUUCUCCAGUCUCUUUUAAGCUAUGUGUCUAAAACUCCAGCUGCACCAGUGGCCUCAUCGGAGGACGACCAGCUGCUUGGUUUCGGCGCUCGUGCCAAGAGUACAUGGAGGGAGAUUUGGGACAGCAGAGCUGAUGGUUACGCUUCCUUUAUAAUGGGGGCAAAAUGUGUCCGAGGGACGCGGGUGUAUAAACUGCAACAAUACCUGCUGAAGCAGCAGCAGUCUGCCCGUCCGCGUGUGCCUGCCUCAAGUGCCACAUCUGAGCCCACAGAGAUGGAUGAAGAUGCUGAGCUGGAGAGUGCAAUGCUGAACAUCACCCCCUCCAAGCUACUGGUGCAAUCGCCAGCACAAUCUUCAUCAGUGAUGAAGAUGAACUGAUAAAUCCCUGUUCUGGAACCAUCUACUGUCCUUUCAAAACCACUGACUGGCACUAUAAACGAACUGCAUCUGUCUCCUGUGGAUGCACCAGCCCUGAAAACGCCUGUGCCCCUUCCUAAAGAGCUGAUGUUUCUUGUGCAGGAACCAUCGGCUUCUACACAAACAAAGAAAAGUGUUUCAGCCACAGCAGAGAGCAGUAUCUCUCGAGCGUGCAGGACACUUUCUUUUGAGGAAUUUAACAAA
This is a long non-coding RNA of Triplophysa rosa, 1121 nucleotides long. RefSeq lists it as uncharacterized. The record is from RefSeq and is a predicted model, not a curated record. Lineage: Eukaryota; Metazoa; Chordata; Actinopteri; Cypriniformes; Nemacheilidae. The transcript has 6 exons.